Molecule: long non-coding RNA, 1409 nt
Filed under: Sus scrofa (pig)
Lineage: Eukaryota; Metazoa; Chordata; Mammalia; Artiodactyla; Suidae
Description: lncRNA (ENSSSCG00060044673.1)
Source: RNAcentral
GUGUCUUGCUCACUCAGACAGCAAGGAGAAAGUAUAACACAUUAGCAAACACAGUAGCAUAUUAGAUCAUAAAGUGCUGUGCAAAAAAUGAAAAUGCAGGAGUUCCUGUCGUGGCUCAGCGCAAACGAAUCUGACUAGUAUCCAUGAGGACGCAGGUUCGAUCCGUGGCCUGGCUCAUUGGGUUAAGGAUCUGGCAUUGCCCUUAGCUGUGGAAUAGGCUACAGAUGUGGCUCGGAUGUGGCAUUGCUUUGGCUCUGGUGUAGGCCAGCAGCUACAGUUCUGAUUCAACCCCUAGCCUGGGAACCCAAAUAUGCCAAGGAUGUGGUGCUAAAGACAAAAAAAAAAAAAAAAAUGAAAAUGCAGAGCACAGUAAGAGGGGCUAGGAGAGUGGAAGGAGGUGUGAGAGAGGAGGGGUUAAAAUUUAAUGGGCGUGGUCAGACCAGGCAUUGCAGAGAAGUCAACCUUUGAAUAAGAACUUGCAAGAAGUGAGGGUGUUAUCCACACAGAUCAGCAGUGGAGGGACAUUGCAGGGGCAGAGAAUAGUGUAAAAGUACAAGAGCAGAAGUACGGCCACUGCUAUGGACUGAAUGGCGACCUCCAAACCCAUAUGUUAAUGCCCUAACUCCCAACGUGACUGUAUCUGGAUAGGGCCUUUGAGGAAGUAAUUAAAGUCAAAUAAGUUCAUAAAGGUGGACCUUGAUCCCAUAUAACUGAUAUGCUUAUAAGAAGAGGAAGAAUGUACAGCACAGGAAACUAUAUCCAAUCUCUCUUGGGAUAGACCAUGAUGGAAGAUAAUCCCAAGCAGACUAAUACAUCUGGUAUUGGAAAACUGGGAAGAAAGCCAGUGUAACCUGGGGCAAGUUGAGUGAUGAGGAUUGUGGUGGAUGAUGAGUGAUUUUUAUACAGCUGCUCUAUGCCAGUCACAUGGGUGCCAAGAACAUAAAGAUGGAGAAAAGAACCACGACACCAAGGGACAGAGAAGAGAAAAAAAUGUGAUCAAGGCCCAAGAUAUUGUUUAUUCCAUGGACAUAUAACAUGAGUGAAAAAUGUCUUUGUCACUGCAAAUUAAGAUGGCAGAAUAGAAGGACUGGAGCUCAAUGUCUCUCAUAAAAACAACAAAACUACAACCAAAUGCUGAGCAACAUUCGAUCAAAUGGACUGGAAACUUUCAAAAAGACAUCCUACUCCAGAAGACAAAGAAGAAGCCACAUCAAGAGGUAGGAGGGGAAAUUACAUGAUAUAAGCAACCCCAUACCUCCUGGGUGGGAAACCCAAAGACCAGAAAGUAACUGUAUCACAGACACUCACCUAUAGGAGUGAGAGUUCUGAGCCCCACAUCAAAUCCCCAUACCUGGGGAUCUGGCAUUGGGAGAAAGAGCCCCCAGAGCAUCUGGCAUUGAAGGCCAGUG